GCGAUUUCUCAUUUCUCUGUGUUUUCCUUUCUCUACCAUAUGUGAAGUAUAUCGGGUCAUUUCUCUUCUCCGCUCAUCGGCUCCCCCGUGAACUGCCGUCGUGCCAACUUCAGGACGCAUUUGUUUCCGAUGAGAUUUUCACUGCAAACAUCAAUUAAGGAUUUCGAUUUUCAUCAGAGCACACGAGAACCGUAGAUUUUGACCUCAAAAACCCUAGCAAUCAGGUUUGGUGUUUCUGCUGGAUGUGAAUUUUAGGCCUUGAAUUAGCUAUUUUCUGGAUCUUGAUACAUUAGCACUAUAGCUACCCGUUAUUGUUCAGUUGUAUUCUCUCUCUUUUGCUCAGCCGGCAGAAAUAUGCAGAAGAGUGGGAAUCUUGUUAAAAAUAAUUCUUUGAAAAUUACAACUCAGCAGUCUCUUCGACGUCUUGGUUUAUGUUCCCAGAUUACAUCUGGGCAGCAUUCAUCUCCGGUUGUUUUCCCUGAAAAACGAAGCAAAGGAAGGAGUCUGACACGUGGAGAACUUAGUCUGAGUAAUAAUGAUUCUAAGAAAGAGAAAAAUGAGGAGCAUAGGAUUGACAUUGGGGAUGAGCAGUCUGACCUGCUUGGAUAUGAAGUAUUUUCUGGAAAGCUGGUUUUGGACAAGGGAAAGACAUAUAAAAAUUCGGAGUUAGAAGCCUCAAAGGAGGUUACUAGCCAGGAUGCUGUUGAAGCCAAACUUACGAGCAAGGCUAUGGUUUGGGGUUCUAGUAUGCUGCAUCUAGAAGAUGUUAUUUCGGUAUCACACUGUCCUGGACUCCGGCAUUUCACCAUCCAUUCAUAUCCUCUGAGAAGAGGUUCCGGUGCUCUUUCUUGUUUUUUAAAAUCUCGAAGAAGUCAGAAGGACUUCCGCUUCUUAGCUUCUUCAUCCGAGGAAGCACUUCAAUGGGUAAAUGCAUUUGCAGAUCAACACUGUUAUGUGAAUUUACUGCCUCAUCCUCUGGCUUCAUCAAAGAAGCAGGCUUCUGAUUUGGUUACUAAUGAAUUUCCUCCUGAGUCAUAUGUACGAUGUAAAAAUCCUCCUAAAAUGCUUGUCAUUCUAAACCCAAGGUCUGGUCGAGGUCGUUCAAGU
RNAcentral lists this unclassified non-coding RNA (1107 nucleotides) under Hevea brasiliensis (rubber tree). Lineage: Eukaryota; Viridiplantae; Streptophyta; Magnoliopsida; Malpighiales; Euphorbiaceae. The record is from RNAcentral.